RNAcentral lists this long non-coding RNA (2333 nucleotides) under Zea mays. RNAcentral describes it as "long non-coding RNA (ZMAY_LNC003550)". Lineage: Eukaryota; Viridiplantae; Streptophyta; Magnoliopsida; Poales; Poaceae. The record is from RNAcentral.
AAAGUAUAAGUUUGAAAUACAUGCUAGCUCAAGGGACCAUCCUCAUUAAGAAGUAUAGAAGGGUUACUUAGACUUAUAAGAAGGCCGAGCCCACCGGCACUUAUCACCAUCAUCAGCAACACAAAACUAUGACCUGAAAAACAACAGGGAAUAAAACCCUGAGUAUGGAAUUACUCAGCAAGUCUUACCCGACUAAAGAAAAGACUCUCAAGGGUAUGCUGGAUUUGGGAAUCAAGGAGAGGCUUUAGCAAGAAUCAACUUAGAUACUUUUGCAGAAAAAAGCUUACUAAAGUGAGUCCUUACUUUCAAUAUUUUAAUGCUAGAUUAAAUAUUAAUAGACUCUGUUUGCAUCUGGUCUAAUUUCACCAUCUUAUCAAUGCAACAUCAUUUUUAUUCAUGAGGUUCACAUCCUGACUUAGGUUGCAGGUCAGUGAUCAAGUCUCCACUCUCCGGGGAUAUAACGGCGAUCCGAAUCGAUUUACUCAGCUGAGGAUCUCUAACCACACGACAUAUGUAGCACUUAACCCUUGCAUAUGUCAACCGUUCCCACAGAUCCUCCACAACGUGAACCGGUCCGCGCUACCCGGGAGCACAGUACUCCUCCAUCCAGCCUCUAGCCAGGAGGGCACACGCUACUCCCACCAUCUCCCACGCCCAGUGCGCGGUUGUCUUUUCACGUAUGGAAUAGCCGGGUUCAAGCUUACCCUGUCCCAUUUCCAGGGCAUGUGGCCAGUUAAGAUAGUCCUUGAUCUAUCAGGCCUACAUACGCAUCCAAUCCUUAAUUGACCUGGACGGAACAUCACCUGUUCCUAGCCCAAGUCCCGAUUUAAGUACUUCCACCCUUAGGAUUGUUUCGUGUUCCUAUGGAUGAAAAGAGCAUUAUAGGGAACUUUGCAGUAAGAUCCCACCAUGCUCGCAAGGAAAAUAUUAUUGCAGGUAGAAGCCACCCUUCCUCAGGAUAACCCUGAGCUAGGCAUAAGUGCAAAGGACAAACUCCACCUGCCUAUAAGCAGGGCUAAGCAUUUUUUUGUAAAUCAUAUUUUGAUACUUCACUAGAAGUAUCUAUAAAGGUAUGGAUAUCAAGGAAGGCAAUGCAUCAAAGGGUUCCAAGCAACUCCUAUAAACCUAAUGCACAUUUCACUAGACUUAAAGUGUGCAAAAAUUAUUUAAAAACACAAGGAAGGGGUUGCAUGCACCGGGGCUUGCCUGGAGUAACACUAGGUUAGUGUUGUUAGGUGGCGACCACUUGGUGACCAUCUCUUGUUCUGAUCUUGUUUCGUCUAUCCAUCUUCAGGGUAGUUCAUUAGCUUCAUCCUGUGGAUUAACCCGCGUUUGGGGUCGACUUGGGUCGUCUUCCGCAUCACACGAUUAUUUAUCGUCCUGAAUGAAGUGCAUUAUGCAUAUGAAUGCAUAUAAAGAAUAAUAACACUAGAUAUUACAAUGCUACACAAAAGAGAAAUAACCUAUUUAAUGACGAGACAUUACGGACACUAGUAUCGAUAUAUUGUUACUUACGACGAUCAUGCUCUUACAACUUAGCUAAAUAGUCGAGGUCACAAUCACCAUCCAUUCCAAUUAUAAAAGCCACUAACACACAUAGAAUAUGAUAUCUAGUUUAGAGAGUACCCUAAACGACUUAUAACUUGUAACUUCACAAUUUUUAGACAUCUAAUACUUAAAAAAUUUGAUAGAAAAACUUUUAUUAACUUUCUAAACUAAUUUACCGGUUAACUCGUGUAUUAUAUAUGUCUACCAAUAUACUUAUCGCAUAACCCUAAAAUUCAACUUAAUCUCUACAUCGAGUAAUAAACAAGAGAAUCAUCGCAAUGAAUUCUUCUAUUUAAUCCUACCAUUUAUUUAGUCGACAGGAAUAAUAAAUCAACUUACCAUAAUUAACUCGAGCUGAAGUUGCGGGGUCAACGAUGAUCUUCGAUUGAAGUCUUCGACCGAGUACUUGAUAAGCGAUGCACAGGGACCUCGCUUAUUUUUGUCUAAAGUCUGGGAUUCAGGGUUCGACAAAUCGAGCAUGGAAGAACGAGGUUCGACGGGCUCGACGACGAUACGGGAGAGCGACGUAUAUGGAGCUGUAGGUCUGGCGGGCUGAUGCAAGUGACAGAGACAGCCGCGUAAGGCAGCAGUGCGUCGACAGUCUAUGGAUUUGGGUGGUUUAUUGAAUAGAUGGGAUGCGAGGAGCCGAACAAUUACUUGAACAUGGUCGACGGCAAAGUCUGCUGGGAGAGAAUAUCAGCACACGACGCGGCACGACGAACGCGCAUAGCUUCAAAACCACGCGCGCGAGACCCCUCUACUGCGGGAUGCGCCUAAGAAACAAG